CGUCGUCGUCGGUCACCACAUGGUUCUCUAGGACCACUGAAAACCAACAGCGGGGACAGAAGACACACUUGAACGUGAACGGCCGGACGGGGCCGCGUCGAUACUAAGCUAGUGUUUACUCCUCAAAACCGUCUCAGCCCCGGCGCGCGGGGAGACCGCCUCAGCUCUCCCUGCACCAGCCACCCGCCCUGUCCGCACCUCCCAACUCCCCCUCCCAGCUCCUCCGCACUCUGGGCCGGCCCGGGUGUGCUCCCCACCGCCUUCCUAUCGUCCAGCAUCCGCCGCAAAACAACAGUAAAGGUAACACAAAAUCCCA
This is a long non-coding RNA of Herpailurus yagouaroundi (jaguarundi), 316 nucleotides long. RefSeq lists it as uncharacterized. The record is from RefSeq and is a predicted model, not a curated record. NCBI's taxonomy places the organism in Eukaryota, Metazoa, Chordata, Mammalia, Carnivora, Felidae. The transcript has 2 exons.